GACGAACCGUGCGAACGUUGUUCGGAAUCACUGGGCUUAAAGGGCGCGUAGGCGGGCUCGCCAGUCCGGGGUGAAAUCCCCCCGCUCAACGGGGGAAUGGCCUGGGAUACGGCGAGCCUCGAGGGGGGUAGGGGCGGUCGGAACUUCCGGUGGAGCGGUGAAAUGCGUAGAGAUCGGAAGGAACGCCGGUGGCGAAAGCGGACCGCUGGGCCCUCACUGACGCUGAGGCGCGAAAGCCAGGGGAGCGAACGGG
This 253-nucleotide ribosomal RNA is filed under the name uncultured bacterium. RNAcentral's name for it is "partial 16S ribosomal RNA". It matches the Rfam family "Bacterial small subunit ribosomal RNA", at positions 524 to 776 of the family's 1533-position model. The record is from RNAcentral.